RNAcentral lists this ribosomal RNA (252 nucleotides) under uncultured bacterium. RNAcentral describes it as "partial 16S ribosomal RNA". It matches the Rfam family "Bacterial small subunit ribosomal RNA", at positions 524 to 776 of the family's 1533-position model. The record is from RNAcentral.
UACAGAGGAUGCAAGCGUUAUCCGGAAUGAUUGGGCGUAAAGCGUCUGUAGGUGGCUUUUUAAGUCCGCCGUCAAAUCCCAGGGCUCAACUCUGGACAGGCGGUGGAAACUACCAAGCUGGAGUACGGUAGGGGCGAAGGGAAUUUCCGGUGGAGCGGUGAAAUGCGUAGAGAUCGGAAAGAACCCCGGCGGCAAAGCACUCUGCUGGGCCGACACUGACACUGAGAGACGAAAGCUAGGGGAGCGAAUGGG